RNAcentral lists this long non-coding RNA (231 nucleotides) under Mytilus galloprovincialis (Mediterranean mussel). Lineage: Eukaryota; Metazoa; Mollusca; Bivalvia; Mytilida; Mytilidae. The record is from RNAcentral.
AAUCCACAUAUUUUUUUCAUUGACUCCCCCCCUCCCCACAAGUUGCUCAUCCUGCCUUUUCUUUCACUCAAUGGACUCGAUGAAUUAGCGUUGUACUUGAAAAAUGAAACCGUACUUUUCUACAAACACUUUUCAUAUUCUUUGACAAGUUUUAGGUAUUCGACACAGGAUUCCGUUUACUUGAGAAAAAAAAUUCCGAAAUUGUAAGUAAAUUCAUAAUAUGUAACCAAC